Molecule: ribosomal RNA, 505 nt
Filed under: Faecalicatena fissicatena
Lineage: Bacteria; Bacillati; Bacillota; Clostridia; Lachnospirales; Lachnospiraceae
Description: bacterial SSU rRNA
Rfam family: Bacterial small subunit ribosomal RNA
Source: RNAcentral
GAGACAGGUGGUGCAUGGUUGUCGUCAGCUCGUGUCGUGAGAUGUUGGGUUAAGUCCCGCAACGAGCGCAACCCUUAUUGUUAGUUGCUACGCAAGAGCACUCUAGCGAGACUGCCGUUGACAAAACGGAGGAAGGUGGGGACGACGUCAAAUCAUCAUGCCCCUUAUGUCCUGGGCCACACACGUACUACAAUGGUGGUUAACAGAGGGAGGCAAUACCGCGAGGUGGAGCAAAUCCCUAAAAGCCAUCCCAGUUCGGAUUGCAGGCUGAAACCCGCCUGUAUGAAGUUGGAAUCGCUAGUAAUCGCGGAUCAGCAUGCCGCGGUGAAUACGUUCCCGGGCCUUGUACACACCGCCCGUCACACCAUGAGAGUCGGGAACACCCGAAGUCCGUAGCCUAACCGCAAGGAGGGCGCGGCCGAAGGUGGGUUCGAUAAUUGGGGUGAAGUCGUAACAAGGUAGCCGUAUCGGAAGGUGCGGCUGGAUCACCUCCUUUCUAAGGAGA